UUCACAAUGAAGUACUCACAGCUUUCCAGUUCAACAUCAGAAGGUUUCGGUGCACAGAUUUAUUUGGCAGUUGUUUGGCAUUUCGGGCAAGUACUCCAAACAUUGUUUAAGACUUUUAAAUUAUUUGAGUGACGUUUAACGGUGACUGGUGGCAUAAUUGCCGACAUUUUACAUGAAGAUACCACACGGCUUGACAAUCCACUAGAUAAAUAUGUAGCUGUGGUUGAAAUUGGCACAUUAUUUGUUUGCUUGUGGACAAUAUGUAUUUGUUUUAUUGUGGAAAGGUCUUCUGUUCUACUAUUAGCACAUUAUUGUACACAGGUUGAUCGCAUUUUGAAUCUACAAGACGCAGCACAGGCAAGAACUCACACAAAACGUUUCCUGAUAAUACUUACGGCCGUAACAUUGAUUCUUCUUAUUUAUACUCAUUACAUCUGGAUAUUUGUAACAGAAAACCCUCUUUAUACGGUAUUUUUUUCUGCUGGGUAUUACUUAUCGCAUAUUGUUGUUCUGGGAGUUAUUUCACUUUACUGGGUCAUAUGCGAUGGCAUCUCACGUCGUAUUUCUGAUCU
Long non-coding RNA from Dalotia coriaria, 572 nucleotides. RefSeq lists it as uncharacterized. The transcript has 3 exons. Lineage: Eukaryota; Metazoa; Arthropoda; Insecta; Coleoptera; Staphylinidae. The record is from RefSeq and is a predicted model, not a curated record.